GGGGCUAUAGCUCAGUUGGUAGAGUGCUUGUCUUGAAUGCAUGCACAAGGCCCUGGGUUCAAUCCCCAGCACCACCA
This 77-nucleotide transfer RNA is filed under the name Ictidomys tridecemlineatus (thirteen-lined ground squirrel). RNAcentral's name for it is "Spermophilus tridecemlineatus (thirteen-lined ground squirrel) tRNA". It matches the Rfam family "tRNA". Rfam says of the family: Transfer RNA (tRNA) molecules are approximately 80 nucleotides in length. Their secondary structure includes four short double-helical elements and three loops (D, anti-codon, and T loops). Lineage: Eukaryota; Metazoa; Chordata; Mammalia; Rodentia; Sciuridae. The record is from Rfam by way of RNAcentral.